Molecule: RNA transcript, 3305 nt
Organism: Juglans microcarpa x Juglans regia
Lineage: Eukaryota; Viridiplantae; Streptophyta; Magnoliopsida; Fagales; Juglandaceae
Gene name: BTB/POZ domain-containing protein FBL11
Exons: 18
Source: RefSeq, a predicted model, not a curated record
ACGCUGAUAAGCGACAAAGACAUGGAGGUCGUUUACAACGACGAAACAAAACAGUGAGCAAACCGAGCUCAUCGAGGAAUCAAACUCUGUAAUAAGAAAACGGAGCUCAUUUAGGAGAACUAUCGUCUGUGAUUACAGAACGGAGAAAAAUAGUCCAUGGCAUCGAGCUCAGAUGAUGACUUCAUUAUUCUGAUAUGCUCAAACCCCAAUCCGAUCGAAGCGAAGACACCACAUGAAGAGAUUCACAUCUCCACCACAGAUAUCCUAAGCUGGGACUUGCCCACAAUCCUCAGUUACCCGACAGUGAAAGUUCACGCAUGUCGUAAUAGGCUCAUUGAAAAAUCUUCGUAUUUCCAAGGCCUGCUCUGCGGGAGCUUUAGUGAAUCAUGUCUUGACAGUACAUCAAUUCAGUGGAACCUGGAAAUAUUUGUGCAUGUUCUCAAGUGCAUAUACGGGUGCCCAUUACAUUUCACUUCAAAAAAUUUCGUUCCUCUUUUUGAGGGUGCACUAUAUUUUGGGGUGGAGACGCUCAUCUCAAAGUGUAAAACUUGGUUUUCUGAAGUAUCUUCUCCCAAAGGGUCAGGGUCUUUGCAAAUAGAAUUGGAUGAUUUGAUUCAUAUAUGGAUAUUUGGUUUAGAAUUUGCAAUUGAGUUUCUUCCAGAAUUAUGUGCGGGCUAUCUUGCAAGGAACUUUAUGUGGGCCAUGACUAGCAAAGUUUUUGGCGAUGUUCCAUACAAUUUGUUAUUGUCUUGCUUAGAUCAUCCCUAUUUGACAGUUGACAGUGAGAUGCAUCUCUCUGAGGCACUUUUAGUUUGGCUUAAUGCUAACUCAAAACAACUGGAAAACUUCAGCAGAACCGGCGAGAAUUGUCAUGGCAUCUUUAGACAUGUCCGCAUUGGCCUUUUGCCAUUGUGGUUUGCUGCAGGGAAAAGAAGUUCUUGUUAUUUCUCUAAGGUAUUUGAGGAGAGCAUUGACUUAAUUUUUAGACUAGUUGAUGCUCCACCAAUAACUUCCAUGAAUGUCUUGGAACAUGCUGAUUUGCACCAUCUCAAGAUUCGGUUGACAGAAUAUUCUAAGAAGGUGAACCUUUCAGGUUGUCCACAAAUAACAUUAGCCACUCUUCUCCUGUCAGUGCUUCCUUUAUCAUAUAGCAUGGACCCCACCUUAAGAAAGAGUAUGAAGCAAAUUUUAAUUGGCCUUGAGCGUCGAGAGAGAGAUCAAAGUCCAAUUCCACAGGGUUUGCUUCCAAUGUUAUCCUUUGAAGCAGUACAGGAGAUAGAUAUUUCCAAGUGCCCAAGGCUACAUCUUGAAGCUGCCAUUACAUGUAUAAGCAAGUCAUUUCCUUCUCUAAGAACACUGAAAGCAGCUUAUCUUUUGAACUUCAAGACAACAGCUUUGCAUCAAUUGGUGCACAAGUGCCCUCUGCUCCGUGAAGUUGACUUAACCACGGAUAUUAGUCCUCUUAUACCAGCACAAGUGUCGGUUGUAUCCUCAAGUCUAGCUAUAACAUCACCACUAUCAAACAAGUCCCUCAGUGUUGGUGAUGAUCCUGCUGAUGUUAUGUCAUUAAAAAAGUCUGGAUUAUCAUUGCCAAAUAUCACAAAGCUCACAUUGGAGGGUCGAAGUGAUAUCUGUGAUUUGGAUCUCCAGUAUAUUUCAAAAUUCUGUUCUUCCUUGCACGAGCUGAACAUUCAAGGGUGUAUAUCAGUGACAGAUGUUGGCAUAUCAAAUCUUCUUUGCAAAUGUAUGAAACUGCAUUCAAUUGUAGUCUGUGAUACUUCUUUUGGGGUAAAUUCAGUUCUUUCUCUGUGUUCUGGUGUUACUAAUCAUGGUGGCUUUCCGGUUGCCCAUUUUCGACGGAACCAUAAAUCUUUGGCAUUUAGUCUUCAAAAACUGCAUAUGGGUGGCUGCAAGGGUGUCGACGAAACAUCUUUUCGAGAGCUUCUGUCUCAAACACAAACUCUAACGAGUCUUUGCUUGCGGGACACUCACCUUAAUGAUGAAAUUCUGCAUUGUUUCUCAGGUUUUUCCUUGGAGAUGCUUGAUGUUUCUAAUACCAUGGUUUCUGGAGCUGCAUUAGCUCAGAUAGUCCAUGGAAAUCCUGGUUUAAAGCACUUGAGAGCAAGGGGUUGCAGAAAUAUCUUGCAGCAGGAAACUAACACCUCAGUGGGGGAAUUUUCUUCCUUGUAUACAUGUAAAGAACUGUAUCUUGAGUUGGGCAAGAAAUGCAAAUUGGAGGAAGUGGCACUAGGAUGGGGAUUUUCUUGCUUUUCUGUUGAAGCUCUCCAACCCGCAAUAAAGUCAUUAAGGUCGAUAACUGUGGGUUUAGGCGGAUCAUUAGGUGAAGAUGUGCUGCAACAGCUAUCUGCAACUUGUCCUAUGCUAGAGUCACUAAUUCUUCAUUUCCAGGUUGUAUCUGACACUGUCGUAACAAACAUGAUGACAUCCUUGAUAAAUUUGCGAGUGUUGGCUUUGUGCUAUUGCUUUGGUGAUAUAUCUAUGUUAAGCUUCAACUUUUCUACGCCAAAUCUGAGGAAACUGAGGCUUGAAAGAGUAACCCCUUGGAUGACCAACAAUGAUUUGAUUAUUCUGACUCAGACUUGUGCAAACUUAGUUGAGCUUUCAUUGCUAGGAUGUAAGCUUCUCGGUUCAGAUUCUCAACAAAUCAUCUCACAUGGAUGGCCUGGCUUGACUUCUAUCCAUCUAGAGGAAUGUGGAAAAGUGACGGAAAAUGGGAUUUCUUCUCUUCUCGAUUGCACAGCUCUUGAAGAUCUCUUGCUGCUCCAUAAUGUGAGUCUUCUGGACAUGGAUCUGAUAAAUACAGUUCUGACUAGAUAAUAUACAAAAAUGACGCUGUAAUUAUUCAAAUCUGAGACACAGACAGACUUCAUUGGGGUACCACUUGCGUGCAUAAUUUUAAUGUGAUAAUUCUCAUGAGUUGUAGUUGGAGCUUUAUGUUUCUUAUGUCUGAUUGUGUCAAUCUGUUUUUUCUUGCCUCAAGUAGGAGGAAAUAGAUGGAACUUAUCAAAAAAAUAGAUAAAUAAACAUGUGCUGUUUUAUUAUUUGGAUUCUAAUUUCUUUCUGUGAACUCAUUGACAUUUAUAACCGACCCGAUGCUGGCUAUUUGCUGGGCUGGACUUAACCAACACUAUUCAGGGCCCUGGGAUACACAAGAACUUCAUUUUUUAUGCUGCUUCGAAGUUGCCAAUGCUUAGGAAGUUGUCAUUGGAUUUGUGUGAUGCAAGAGAAGGUGACUUUGACAUUCCAGAUUACGACGAUAAAUGUUUGGUGAGUACUGUGAAGAU